This is a long non-coding RNA of Sinocyclocheilus grahami, 128 nucleotides long. RefSeq lists it as uncharacterized. The record is from RefSeq and is a predicted model, not a curated record. The transcript has 3 exons. NCBI's taxonomy places the organism in Eukaryota, Metazoa, Chordata, Actinopteri, Cypriniformes, Cyprinidae.
UGUGCGCUUCCAAUCUGUUAGGUACACUUUAUUGUCCCUGAGGGAAAUUUGUCUUAGGCUCAGAAAUACAACCACCACAUCACAUACAACGCAUAGUAGUAAAGGAAAAAAAAAAAAAAAAAGAUAAU